CAGCACCUCAAGUGGUCAGGAUGAUUAUUGGGCCUAAAGCAUCCGUAGCCGGCGCUGUAAGUUUUCGGUUAAAUCUGUACGCUCAACGUACAGGCUGCCGGGAAUACUGCAGCGCUAGGGAGUGGGAGAGGUAGACGGUACUCGGCAGGAAGGGGUAAAAUCCUUUGAUCUAUUGAUGACCACCUGUGGCGAAGGCGGUCUACCAGAACACGUCCGACGGUGAGGGAUGAAAGCUGGGGGAGCAAACCGGAUUAGAUACCCGAGUAGUCC
This 270-nucleotide ribosomal RNA is filed under the name uncultured archaeon. Its description in RNAcentral is "partial 16S ribosomal RNA". It matches the Rfam family "Archaeal small subunit ribosomal RNA", at positions 477 to 747 of the family's 1478-position model. The record is from RNAcentral.